This 208-nucleotide unclassified non-coding RNA is filed under the name Pholiota henningsii. RNAcentral describes it as "partial internal transcribed spacer 2". The record is from RNAcentral. Lineage: Eukaryota; Fungi; Basidiomycota; Agaricomycetes; Agaricales; Strophariaceae.
AAUUCUCAACCUUAUCAGCUUUUGUUGAUAAUGGCUUGGAUUUGGGGGUUUCUUGUUGGCUUCUUCACAAAGUCAGCUCCCCUUAAAUGUAUUAGCUGGUUGCCUUGUGCAGACUGUCUAUUGAUGUGAUAAUUAUCUACAUCGUGGACUUUCUUGCCAGUAUAUAGCACUGCUUCUAACUGUCUGUUGAAUCAGACAAUAUAUGACA